This 72-nucleotide transfer RNA is filed under the name Bos taurus (domestic cattle). It matches the Rfam family "tRNA". From Rfam's summary of the family: Transfer RNA (tRNA) molecules are approximately 80 nucleotides in length. RNAcentral also lists the same sequence under 4 other names. The record is from Rfam by way of RNAcentral. Lineage: Eukaryota; Metazoa; Chordata; Mammalia; Artiodactyla; Bovidae.
UCCCUGGUGGCUCAGAUGGUAAAGCGUCUGCCUACAAUGCAGGAGACCCAGGUCCAAUCCCUGGGUUGGGCA